This 431-nucleotide ribosomal RNA is filed under the name uncultured bacterium. RNAcentral's name for it is "partial 16S ribosomal RNA". It matches the Rfam family "Bacterial small subunit ribosomal RNA", at positions 29 to 507 of the family's 1533-position model. The record is from RNAcentral.
AACGAACGCUGGCGGCAGGCUUAACACAUGCAAGUCGAACGCCCCGCAAGGGGAGUGGCAGACGGGUGAGUAACGCGUGGGAACAUACCCUUUCCUGCGGAAUAGCUCCGGGUAACUGGAAUUAAUACCGCAUACGCCCUACGGUGGAAAGAUUUAUCGGGGAAGGAUUGGCCCGCGUUGGAUUAGCUAGUUGGUGGGGUAAAGGCCUACCAAUGCGACGAUCCAUAGCUGGUCUGAGAGGAUGAUCAGCCACAUUGGGACUGGGACACGGCCCAAAAUCCUACGGGAGGAAGCAGUGGGGAAUAUUGGAAAAUGGGCGAAAGCCUGAACCAGCCAUGAGGCGUGAGUGAUGAAGGCCUUAGGGUAGUAAAGCUGUUUCAACGAUGAAGAUAAUGACGGUAGUCGGAGAAGAAGCCCCGGCUAACUUCGUG